This 727-nucleotide ribosomal RNA is filed under the name Phyllosticta capitalensis. Its description in RNAcentral is "eukaryotic LSU rRNA". The stretch from base 1 to 69 matches the Rfam family "Eukaryotic small subunit ribosomal RNA", at positions 1763 to 1831 of the family's 1831-position model. Lineage: Eukaryota; Fungi; Ascomycota; Dothideomycetes; Botryosphaeriales; Phyllostictaceae. The record is from RNAcentral.
CUCCGGGGGUCUAGAGGAAGUAAAAGUCGUAACAAGGUUUCCGUAGGUGAACCUGCGGAAGGAUCAUUACUGAAAUGUAACAACUUCUAUUGAAAGGUUCCAGAGUAGGCGCUACAACGCCGAAAUGACCUUCUCACCCUUGUGUACUCACUAUGUUGCUUUGGCGGGUCGACCUGGUUCCGACCCAGGCGGCCGGCGCCCCCAGCCUUAACUGGCCAGGACGCCAGGCGGAGGGCGCCGCCAGCAUACACUAGUCAAGACACUCACUAAGUGAACUCCAGAUACAUCAUUCAAUUAAUUCAUUCUGUCAACUCCGGAUCUAUCGUUUCUGGGAUCGAUGCUGUACGCAGCGAGAUGCGAUAGGUAAUGUGCAUCGCAGAAGAACACUGCAUCAUGGGAUCAGUGAACGCACAUUGCGACUUCAGGGAUUCCGGAGCGCAUGCCUGUUCGACCGCUCAUUUCAACCCUCAAGGUAUGCCCGGUAUUGGGCAAUGUCCUGUGCCGGACGUGCAUUGCGCCCUCCGGGUCGGCGUCGUAUCGUGGAGCGUCCGCUGCCGGACGUGCCUUGAAGACCUCGGCGACGGCGUCCUAGCCUCGAGCGUAGUAGUAAAAUAUCUCGCUUUGAGUGCUGGGCGACGGCCGCCGGACAAUCGACCUUCGGUCUAUUUUUCCAAGGUUGACCUCGGAUCAGGUAGGGAUACCCGCUGAACUUAAGCAUAUCAUAAGG